AAGUCGUAACAAGGUUUCCGUAGGUGAACCUGCGGAAGGAUCAUUACCGAGUGAGGGCCCUUUGGGUCCAACCUCCCACCCGUGUUUAUUUUACCUUGUUGCUUCGGCGGGCCCGCCUUUACUGGCCGCCGGGGGGCUCACGCCCCCGGGUCCGCGCCCGUCGAAGACACCCUCGAACUCUGUCUGAAGAUUGAAGUCUGAGUGAAAAUAUAAAUUAUUUAAAACUUUCAACAACGGAUCUCUUGGUUCCGGCAUCGAUGAAGAACGCAGCGAAAUGCGAUACGUAAUGCGAAUUGCAAAUUCAGUGAAUCAUCGAGUCUUUGAACGCACAUUGCGCCCCCUGGUAUUCCGGGGGGCAUGCCUGUCCGAGCGUCAUUGCUGCCCUCAAGCCCGGCUUGUGUGUUGGGCCCCGUCCUCCGAUUCCGGGGGACGGGCCCGAAAGGCAGCGGCGGCACCGCGUCCGGUCCUCGAGCGUAUGGGGCUUUGUCACCCGCUCCGUAGGCCCGGCCGGCGCUUGCCGAUCAACCCAAAUUUUUAUCCAGGUUGACCUCGGAUCAGGUAGGGAUACCCGCUGAACUUAA
Molecule: ribosomal RNA, 581 nt
Filed under: uncultured fungus
Lineage: Eukaryota; Fungi
Description: eukaryotic LSU rRNA
Rfam family: 5.8S ribosomal RNA (bases 223-375)
Source: RNAcentral